UACGAAGGGGGCUAGCGUUGUUCGGAGUUACUGGGCGUAAAGGGCGCGUAGGCGGCAGUUCAAGUCGGGUGUGAAAGCCCGGGGCUCAACCCCGGAAUAGCACUCGAGACUGGGCAGCUUGAGGAUGGGAGAGGAUGGUGGAAUUCCCAGUGUAGAGGUGAAAUUCGUAGAUAUUGGGAAGAACACCGGUGGCGAAGGCGGCCAUCUGGACCAUUUCUGACGCUGAGGCGCGAAAGCGUGGGGAGCAAACAGG
This 253-nucleotide ribosomal RNA is filed under the name uncultured bacterium. RNAcentral's name for it is "partial 16S ribosomal RNA". It matches the Rfam family "Bacterial small subunit ribosomal RNA", at positions 524 to 776 of the family's 1533-position model. The record is from RNAcentral.